GCUUGGGUUCGAUUAGCCUGCUAGUCGCACGAGUUCAGACUCGUGGCGAAUAGCUCAGUAACACGUGGCCAAACUACCCUUCGGACCGUCAUACCCUCGGGAAACUGAGGCUAAUAACGGAUACCACAGUCCACCUGGAAUGAGGACUGUGCCAACCGCUCCGGCGCCGAAGGAUGUGGCUGCGGCCGAUUAGGUAGACGGUGGGGUAACGGCCCACCAUGCCAAUAAUCGGUACGGGUCAUGAGAGUGAGAACCCGGAGACGGAAUCUGAGACAAGAUUCCGGGCCCUACGGGGCGCAGCAGGCGCGAAACCUUUACACUGCACGACAGUGCGAUAAGGGAAUCCCAAGUGCGUAGGCAUAGAGCCUACGCUUUUGUCCACCGUAGGGAGGUGGACGAAUAAGGGCUGGGCAAGACCGGUGCCAGCCGCCGCGGUAAUACCGGCAGCCCGAGUGAUGGCCGAUCUUAUUGGGCCUAAAGCGUCCGUAGCUGGCCGCACAAGUCCAUCGGAAAAUCCACCCGCUCAACGGGUGGGCGUCCGGUGGAAACUGUGUGGCUUGGGACCGGAAGGCGCGACGGGUACGUCCGGGGUAGGAGUGAAAUCCCGUAAUCCUGGACGGACCGCCGAUGGCGAAAGCACGUCGCGAGAACGGAUCCGACAGUGAGGGACGAAAGCUAGGGUCUCGAACCGGAUUAGAUACCCGGGUAGUCCUAGCCGUAAACAAUGCCUGCUAGGUGUGGCUCCCACUACGAGUGGGUGCUGUGC
Molecule: ribosomal RNA, 766 nt
Filed under: uncultured archaeon
Lineage: Archaea
Description: bacterial SSU rRNA
Rfam family: Archaeal small subunit ribosomal RNA
Source: RNAcentral